ACGUAGGUGGCAAGCGUUGUCCGGAUUUAUUGGGCGUAAAGCGAGCGCAGGCGGUUCCUUAAGUCUGAUGUGAAAGCCCACGGCUCAACCGUGGAAGGUCAUUGGAAACUGGGGAACUUGAGUGCAGAAGAGGAGAGUGGAAUUCCAUGUGCAGCGGUGAAAUGCGUAGAUAUAUGGAGGAACACCAGAGGCGAAGGGGACGAUAUGGUCUGAAACUGACGAUGAGGCUCGAAAUUGUGUGGAGCAAUCAG
RNAcentral lists this ribosomal RNA (251 nucleotides) under uncultured prokaryote. Its description in RNAcentral is "partial 16S rRNA". It matches the Rfam family "Bacterial small subunit ribosomal RNA", at positions 525 to 775 of the family's 1533-position model. The record is from RNAcentral.